UAUGUUUCCUUUCAAAGGGAUCUUGACGUGGUACCAGGACUGAGUCAUGAUUUGGGCAGAGGCAGUUAACACUGGGAAGCCCUGCCCCUCCCUAUGCCCCCUUCACUCCGGGGAACUGAAACCUACUCUGAGUCUCACAUCUCUAAACCUCAGUGCUGAGACCUAUGCAGUGGGACUAAUCUCAUCAAGAAUUUUCAGUUGAGGCCGGGCGCAGUGGCUCACGCCUGUAAUCCCAACACUUUGGGAGGCCGAGGUGGGCGGAUCACCUGAGGUCAGGAGUUGGAGACCAGCCUGGCCAACAUGGUGAAACCCCAUCUCUACUAAAAAUACAAAGAAAGUUAGCCAGGUCUGGUGGUGCGUGCCUGUAAUCCCACUUACUCGGGAGGCUGAGGCAGGAGAAUCACUUGAACCCAGGAGGCAGAGGUUACAGUGAGCCGAGAUCGCGCCACUGCACUCCACCCUGGGCAACAAGAGCGAAAACUGUCUCAAAAAAAAAAAAUUUUUCAUUUGAGGUAUUCUUCCAGUAGAAGGUUAGUAAGUUUUUAAUGAAACCAUUAAAAAUUACACUUCCCAGAAAAUAGAUGACAUCAGUGCCCCUUGCUACUUUCUCAGUCCUCACUAUUGCUUUGAGGGCCCAGGUACUGAAACUGGUUGUCUUGAGUUUUGUGUCAGCUUUUUCUCCAGUCCAUUAUCCCCCUCCCUUGCUUCUGAAGCAGUCUAGGUUAAACUAGCCAGGCAGGUAGUUGUGGACUGGUGAUUUUCAAAAGCCCCACUUUAGAGAUCAGGCCACAGCUUUUUAUAUCGCACAGGACACAUCAGCCUGAGCUGCUGCCUCAUGCCUGUUUCCCCAGGAACCUCACUCCUUUGGUAGAACCUUGGGAUUUUAGAAAUUGUGGCUUUUCCAUAACUCAUUUACUCCAACAGUUGAAGUUACACACAUUGCUCCCAAAUUUGGAAAUAGACCACAGUACCUUACCUUUCAUUCCCCAUCUGGCCUUUACCUUCUUUGCUUCAGUGGUUGAAAACAGUUGCCAUAUUCAAAGUAUAGUAGAUUUCAACCUCACACAAAUGACAAGUCCCAUUUUACAAUCCUAGGAAGGCCCACCAAUUUCAUUUCACGCGCCAGGGCGGCUGCAGUUGGAGGCCGAGGGCAGCCCUCUGCUCACUGAAUGUCUUGCAUGUGCUGACUGCUGCCCGCAGUGCUGAACAUGCCCCACCGCCCAGGCCCAGCACUGCUUGUUGGGUCAGCAUCUAGUGCUGCUGUCACAUCUUUGUCUGCACAGCCAGUAGGAUUGCCUCAGCCAGGGGGUUUAUCAGAAGGUGUGCAAGGCCUUUGGGGGAACUGAGCCCCUAUAGUGGGCAGUCUCCUUUACCUUCCCACCUCCCUGAAAAGCACAGAAGACAGUGCCUUGGUUUGUGUUUUGAAGCAAACAAGUCAGCUUUCUGGCUUUGCCCCAAAACUGUGAUGGAACAUAAUAAAACUGGAGAUAUGGUUUUUAACACUGCAAAAAGGAAAAAGCAUCAAGUUUCUACUUCUGGCUGGAAAGCAAAACCAAUCUCAGCUGACAAGGCUGGGCAAACUAAGUUUUCCUGAGCCCAUUUUCCUUUGAGCCCUGACCUAGCCUGGCCUUACCUCAUUAAGGUUUGGUUAAAGCAGUGGAAAGGAGGAGGAGGCAGGGGUGGAUGGGGGUGUGGGGAGGGGAUGAGCACUCUGCAGCCGAUUAAUCUGUUGGUAGGGGCCCAGCUUCUUGGGAGUGCUUAUUCAGCCCAAGAGUGGAGGCUGUUUACAGCGAGCCCUGGAGAUGGCAGCUUGUCUCCAGCUGGGGAGGGGUCAGGCCCCUAAAUUGAAGACCACUUUGGUAGCAGAACUGUAGGGACUGGUGAGUCAACUCACAGAUUCUGCAGCAGCUGCUCCACCCACAAUAAAGCAAACGCCGACAGGCUAGACCCCAGAUUGCAGGGGCUGCCACCUACAAGGUGGGACCACAGGCUGCCUCACCGGGAUUGUCUGCCACUAAAUAGCUGGAGUCACAGAUUGAGAUAAAUGCCACCUUCAAGGUUGCAGUGAAAAGCAUAAUCCUAUGUGAUGAAUUUAUAUGUGUUAUUUUUUAAAAAGCUAUUUUAUUACUGCAUGUUCCCGUCCCGUCUUGUGAAUGUGAGUCCCCGCCACCACGUGAGGUGCAGUCGUUGCAGCGGCUGGUGCAGGAGUGCAGCUGGCGCGUGUGUGAUAGCAUCUCGUAGGUGUUGCUGCACAAGAGUUAACCAGAGUCAAUGCCAAACACAUAGUAUGAGAAGUGUACUUUUUAAGAAAUUAAUUUAUUUGAGUUCAAAUAUUUUUGAAAUAUAAAAAUUGGUUGUAUUUUUUAAAGCUAUAAUUCUUGUAGACAUUCUGUGGUUAAAAAUUUGAUUGUGCUUAUUAAAAAUGGUCAUCUAUGUUUUGCACUUCAGCUACGUGAAAAUAAAAUUUCUUUGGGAAGGUG
This 2480-nucleotide long non-coding RNA is filed under the name Homo sapiens (human). RNAcentral's name for it is "non-protein coding lnc-SMCR8-1:2". The stretch from base 204 to 320 matches the Rfam family "Metazoan signal recognition particle RNA". Lineage: Eukaryota; Metazoa; Chordata; Mammalia; Primates; Hominidae. The record is from RNAcentral.